AGAGUUUGAUCCUGGCUCAGGACGAACGCUGGCGGCGUGCUUAACACAUGCAAGUCGAACGGAAAGGUCUCUUCGGAGAUACUCGAGUGGCGAACGGGUGAGUAACACGUGGGUAAUCUGCCCUGCACUUCGGGAUAAGCUUGGGAAACUGGGUCUAAUACCGGAUAGGACCACGGGAUGCAUAUCCUGUGGUGGAAAGCUUUUGCGGUGUGGGAUGGGCCCGCGGCCUAUCAGCUUGUUGGUGGGGUGAUGGCCUACCAAGGCGACGACGGGUAGCCGGCCUGAGAGGGUGUCCGGCCACACUGGGACUGAGACACGGCCCAGACUCCUACAGGAGGCAGCAGUGGGGAAUCUUGCGCAAUGGGCGAAAGCCUGACGCAGCAACGCCGCGUGAGGGACGAAGGCCUUCUGGGUUGUAAACCUCUUUCAGCAGGGACGAUGAUGACGGUACCUGCAGAAGAAGCCCC
RNAcentral lists this ribosomal RNA (467 nucleotides) under uncultured bacterium. Its description in RNAcentral is "bacterial SSU rRNA". It matches the Rfam family "Bacterial small subunit ribosomal RNA", at positions 8 to 494 of the family's 1533-position model. The record is from RNAcentral.